UCGCUUUCGACUACUUGCUAGCAAAGGUAACGAACACUUUCCAUUAACGUUACAUUUUCUGUCACAUUUCUCCUUUAUUUCUAUAUCCUACUUGUAACAUUUUUAAAAUUAAAUCUAACAAAUUGUUUCUGUUGAUAAUCGAUGCAUGAAAGCAAUACUUUUCGUGAAUCACACCCGUGGUAACUUGCUGACAGAAUAAGUUUUUUUGUGUGUGAAAAGAUUAACAUUGUGGAGAAUUUCUCCCUUUUCUCCUCCGAUAAUAUGAUGGGCAAGAUCCGGUACCUUCAGACUGGUGAGCAGCUGGCGCCUGUGACGACGAAGACUGAGGACCUUUUCAUAACAAAGUUAAGCAUAGUUAUUUGUCCUAUACCUCUGAGUUCACAGCCAAACUAUUUCAGCAUUCCUUCAAAAAACAUAACAUUAUGCUUAAGAACUAAUACUGUUAUGCGAUAUACUUCAUUACAUUCAGUACAUAACAGGCAGAGAGUGACAAAGAGGGUCUAAGAUACUGUGCAAAUGAAAUACAGGUUGUGAAAAUUGGACUUGUACUUUGUAUGAACAAUUCAUUGCCAAGAAAUGAAAUCUUGGAUCUACUUUUUUGUGUGUGUGGAAUCAACCCUUUUUGGGUGAAUUUGGGUGUGUUUGGCGCUGGGUUGUGAUCAGCGUCAGACUCAUUCGGUUUGAUCAAAUUUAGGAUUUUGCCUGGGAAUGACAGCAAGCAUGAAGUUUUCAGAGUGCUAGUGUUAAGAUUCCUUUUUAUUUCAAAUACUAAAUCUUACUUUCUCUGGUGAGACUCUGGCUGUGUUUCCAGGCUUGAAUGUUUUUCUGCUCGAAUCAGGCACUCAUGGGCUUUCGCAUAUGAAUCUGAAACAUCACAGAACAGGAGCUUAUCAGUUCAUCUGUAAAGGUCUGCAAACGAGACAUUUAGAUAUUCUGUUGAAGUACUCACUCUUUGUCUUCGGUAAUUGAAUUGAAUACACCUCUAAUGUAUCAAUGUCCGGCCGUUCAUGUGACAUCACUGCCUUCCUUAACUCCCCUUGGCUCUUGUAUGGAGGCCAGUAACAUUUGUCCUUGGUGCACCAGGUUUUUAAGAUGACAGCUGAACUGUCAUCUUCGUUCUGGAAAUUAACCACAGCAAACAUGGUACUGUGAACUAAAAAGCAAAUAAGGGUACACAAUUAGAUUAGUUUACUCAAACAUUUCACAAUAGUAACAUCUAAUGUCUUUUACUGACAAUUUACCUUAAAGAGAACGGGGAAACCAAUAGAAAUAACAUUGGUGCUUUGCAUCCUACAAAUGGAGUAAUGGCAUCCCAGCAAAGCCCUCUUCGCACGAGAGUAGAACAAACUUCUGAAGCACUUUUGUGGCAUGAGUGAAAAGAGGUUCAUCUUUCAAUCCAGAGAGAUGGAAAAUAUCAAGCGGUGAUGAUGGCAGGGGAUAUGCGAAAAGGUCUGUCUUGUUCCUAAAUGUUUUGUACACUGUGGUAUGUUCCUCCACCACAAGGUUUUGCACUAGGACAACCUCCUUGUUCCUCAACUGGACACAGUUAUGCCCAGUGGACAUCCGCAUGGAGAAGCAGCUGCAGUGGUCCACAAACAAAACCAGGAGGUUUCCUGCAUAGUCUGCUUGGUCUGCACACAAGGAUACACGUAGGAAGAUGGUCAUGGCAUCUGCAAGCAACAUGAAGUUUUCACACAUCACCCUUGGAAUAUUCCCUUUUGAACAGACGGGCCCAGUGUACAAGAGGAAUGUACGGAACUCAGUUACCUUCCAACGAUCAGACUCAUUCAGUGGUUCUCUUGAUUUCUGAUGGGAGUGUGAGGUCAGCUGUGAAGAUACAUUUCAGACAACAGCUGGACCUAAACAUGUUUUCAGUGGCCCUUUCUGCCAUAGUUAUCAGUUUCCGUGUAACUCUCAAACAUACCAGGAGCAUUUUGUCAAGAGGAAACGACGUCACCAAACCAUUUGAUAAUGAUCCUAAAGGUGUUGUCUUCUCUCAGUCAUCAGUCAAAUCAUCAAAAGUGUUGUGGUUGGCCCUCGGCUGUUGUUUCUGGGAAGGUCAUACGAUUCAGGUAGUAGACUCCCAUUUGACGGUAUUUGUCAUAGCCAUAGUAGCCAUUGUGACCUUUUGCAUUUCUGACAAAGGCCCUGGCUGGUGCGUCACAAAUAAUGGCAGAGAUUUGGACUUUAAGAUUUUUGUCUCCAAAAAAACAACUUCAGUUUCCAGCUGCUGCAUUUCCUCAAGUCAUGCAAAAAAUCAAGACGGUUUGGUUUCUUCUUUCAAUUUGAUGGCCUUUGUAUAGAGGAAGGCCACCAAAAUUGAUUUGGAAAGACACUGACAACCUUGUAUGAACAGAUGUUGUAAGGUGGGACGUUACGUUAGCUAGUCUAACGUUAGUGUCCGUCAACUAACUUCCAAGUCCCUAAUGUUCACCCUGAAGGUAACAUCAACUCACCUUGGCUUUAUACUGACCACAGAGACAGAUGCGUAAGCAAGGUGAUCCAGAUGAGCUGUUCCCUCCAGAGGAUUCCACAGGACAAUGUUUGUAUGUGUACCACACGGACCACACAGAUAGACUUCUCUCUGCUGUCUGGAUCCUGAACGAUGUUGACAACACUCAACCUCAAACUCCACUAGCUCAUGCGCCCCACAACAUUAGACAUGAAACCUUCCUGUCCAUCCUCAAUACCUUAAGCAAUAGACACACAAUGAUAUCCCCAUAGACAUGUAGGGUGGUUUGAGCCCAUAUUCAGUUUAAAUGCGUUCCCUGGUUGGCAUGAAUCUUCAGUUAGAACAUUUUACUGACUCAUCUCUGAUCAAGAUAUUCCACCAACGAUUGAAAGAAAUGUAUCUUUAAAAAAAACUUGUUUAGAACAUAGUUUAUAGUUUCCAUUAGGAAAUGUUAAGGAAGACUUCAAAAAGUAUUGCCUUGGGGCCUCUUAAGUCUAGAGCCUGCAUUGUAAGUCUAACAUCUUUGUAAAUACAUUACGUUUCAGUUUUGUGCUAAAGGUUGUCACACAAGACCAUGUUAAAGGUAGUAUUGCUAACUUAUACCUAAUCUUAAUGUGUGUCUUGUUGUAGAAUAAAGAUGCAUUUCCUGUCAUUUUUGUUCUAUAUUCACAAACUCACCUUCACAAUGCCCAAGAUUUGUGAAUGGGUUGACAGUGAGUAUGCAAGCUAUGUACUUAUAAGAAAACGCAAAAGUAGUGGAACUUGCCAUUACAUUGAAAUCGCAUUAUGCGAUGACAAAAUGUGGAACUUCAAUGGACAUUUUCCAGAAAAUGCUGAAUGGUACAGUUCAACUGUCAAAUGUGUGGUAUAUAUAUUACAAAAAUAUAUUUUCAGCUACAAUAGCAGUACUUAUUCAAUUUAUGAAAAGGUGUUACAGCAGGUCGCACGCACGGGUCCGCAUAUCGACAUGCCGAAGUUCCUCCACUGAAGGGCAGACCUCCACCUAGCACAGCGGCUUGCCGCUCAAGAAACGCUAGAGGAUGGAUGAGCGAUUGCUGACCAUCUUGUAGAUAGUCUGCCACCAGAGGCUCGACCGCGGCAAGCCGCUGAUGGCGUGCCACGCAAAUAAAACACUGGCGGACCGACAGGUCAUUGUUAGCUGGGUAGGCCCUGAGAGCUUGUGCCAAUAUUGCAGGUAACUCCUUCGCUGAGAAAUCUUUCAGCCCCAGGAACCGCUCCGCCGCAAUUACAAUGAUUUAUAUUUUGCUAGGCUUCUCUCCACCUUGGCAGUGCCAUAAUUACCAUAGCUAUAAAUGCCACAAAGUCCCUUCAUCAAAGCGCUGAAGAAGACUCCCAACACCAGAAAGAGAAAGUGCUUGAAGACAAGUUUUUGGCACCUCAAACCCACUAACAAAAUGGACACAAACACAAACUGUGGAAAAAUGACUUAAUUUUGUGAAAAAGAUACAGUAAACACAUCUGCCCAUGAAACUUUUACAAAAAAAUAUAUUUUCCUAGUAGUAUCUCAAUAUUUCCAUAUUAUGCAUUUAUUACUAGGGUGUAAGGGUUAAACAAUGGCUCUGGGCUUCAUUACUGUAUUGAGGUAACUCUGAUCAUUCCCUCCAUUUAGGAUCGGCCUUAUCCACCAUGUGAGGCAAAGCAGCAGAAGCUGUCGUAAACAUAACAUUUCCGUAAAUCAUUCUGUUUUUUCCCGCCGUCACAAGGACAUGCAAGAAAACACCAUAAUUAAAAUGUACAGUAACAUAAAAACAACUGCGGCACAUCACAUAGUAUGCCAUCUUCAAAUAGGAAAACAGUUAGAACCUGUACAGGACAUGCAGUUACGGUUUAAAAAAAUAGAUAAACAAAUAGGCUAAAAAAACAAACACUGUUUCCACUUUAGCAAAACGGGAAGUGUUAAUUUGUUACAGUAUACAAUGUAAUAAAAAAUAGAACAAAUCCCCAGUUGAUCUGGUCCAGGGAGACCAUUCUGUGGACAGACAGUCUUUACCCGUUGUUGCUGUACUGCCAUUUAGGUAGAAUGGGUCCAGGUCCACAUAUACACUUGAGAGGCCCCUUUUAGAUGGUCUUCAUCUCUAAAGGCCUUACUUACUCUUAGAUGAUUUACUUUUCUGAGGAGAGAAUAAAACCCAAAACAUUUGCAGCUCUGUUAUUCUUUGGCCAGGUAUAAGUAUGAGAGCUGAGGCAUGCAGUGAGUAGUAUAAGCACGCUGGGAUGCAAGGUCAAGAAAAAGCAUGUGUGUCAAUGUCUAGCUGUAACUUCUGCGCCUUGAUGAUGAAGAUGAUGACUUCCUUACCUUUUUAGGUGGGGUCUCUGUGGGUGCUGGAGGGUGCUGUACAGGGAUGGAGUCUUGGGCAGGUGUGGCUGGCAUCUCAGACACUGCAGUCUUUGAGAGUUUCAGCUUUUUAAUCUCUGUAGAGUUUUUAUUUAUAUAAACGUUAUUACACAAUCGUUUUCAGUAUAGACUAAUAUACAAUAUAUUUUUUUCAUUUUCUGAAACAAGGUUUUUAGAGGAAGAGUCACUCACUUUUCUUCUCUGUUGGAGAAUCAGGUGUUACUCUGGUGGAUGGAGGUGGUGGUUCCUUGUCAACACAGUUCUCAUUCAUUUUCUUCUUAUCCUUUUCCAGUUCCAUCUUAGUCUCAUUUUCCUUUCUUAUCUCCUCCUGUUUCUUCUUCGUUCCCUUCUCCUUUUUUGCACCAUUCUCCUUAGUCGUCCUCUUCUUUUCCUUCCCUGGUUCCUUCUCUUCUACAGUCUCAUUUUUCUUUUCAUCCGUCUUCUCUUCGCCGGAUUCCCUUUUCUUCUUUUGAGGUUGUGGUGAAUUGUCAUGUGCUUUAGUCUGAUUGUUCCUAUUUUUCCUCUUCCUUUUCCUGGCUGACAGGAAACCAUUAGGUGUUGGGGUAGCAGGCAUGGUGGGUGGCUGUUUGUCUUUGACUAAUGGGGUGGGAGGUGCUUUGACUGAUGGGGUGGGAGGUGCUGCCUUCUUAGCCUGACUGGACUUGGCUUUACUGGCUUUUGCAGAUGUCUUGGUCUUCCCAUUCCCAUCUUCCUUUUCAGCUGUAGUCUUGUCUUUUUCAGCAGCACUAGACUUUUGCACUGCAGCGCCAGCCUUGGGUUUAGGUGUCUUCGAUGCAGCUUUAGCCCUGGGCUUCGUCGGCGCUCUUGUUUUCUUCGCUGCUGAGGCAGGAGCAGGUGGAGCGUUCAGCGCAGUGAUGGCCAUUUUGGCGAUGUUUGUGUCUGUGGACAGAGUCUCUCCCUCUCUUGCCUGAUAGUUCCAGUGCCAGUCUCUUCCACUUCUCCACGUCCAGAUCGGAGUCAGAGUCUGAGCCAGAGUCGUCUCCCCCUGUAGGAGGAGGACCAAGAACGGUCAGAGGCAGGGCAGCCAUGACAGUCUCAGGGGAGGGCUUCUUCUUUUUGCCUUUAACGGGUGUGUCCCCUGGUUUGUCUUCACCUCUUUUCCUCUUGGCUGAUGGAGCUGAGGCCUGAAACAUGGGUUGGUAAGAAGAAUUCCGUUAUGCAGAAUGAUCUAGCUAACAAGCACUUAGAGAAUAUGGUUCCCAAUGACCAUAUACGGAUGAGAAAAUAAGUCUGUGCAAUUUAAUACACCGAGAG
This is a long non-coding RNA of Oncorhynchus gorbuscha (pink salmon), 6083 nucleotides long. RefSeq lists it as uncharacterized. NCBI's taxonomy places the organism in Eukaryota, Metazoa, Chordata, Actinopteri, Salmoniformes, Salmonidae. The transcript has 5 exons. The record is from RefSeq and is a predicted model, not a curated record.